AUUCAUUUAUCACGUGACUAUUACGCGUCGCUUUACGUGCGCGACUCUCGAAAGUCCAACAAACAUCAAUUACUUUCCCUGGAUUAUUAAAGCUUGAUGGGUUUCGAAUCGACAAGACAGACACAACCGUCGACCACGGCUGAUUUGCUUCCACAGAAACGUCGCACUGCCAUCCCCUUACUCUCAACCGACGGCGGAUUUGCGCGACGGAAUAUCGGAUGAUAAAUUGCGCAACGAGGAUUCUAUGGGCAUGACCAUACAAAAUGGCUGUGCUAGCACUUCGCGCGAUGACAGAAAACUCCUUUCGCAUAAAAAUUAAAAGUUCACGACAGUUUUCUUAAUUCUCACUCGACCGACCCUUCGGUCUUCUUUGAUCUUCCUUUGGAACCGGAUACAUUCAUUAAGUGUGGCUCUUUUCAAAAGUAACCGAGCCGGACUACAAGCAAGUCCAUUCAUACAGAUAACCAGCACUGCGUCCCCGAGCUAGCACUUGCAUUGUAUGUGAACUCAUUCAGAGUACCGAUAAUCGUAGAGUGAAUCGUCGAGCUCGAAUGGACGCUGCUUGGCUAUGCCGUGAUAAGAACAUUCACUUUAUAUUAUCCCUGCUCUUCCACAAAGAAAUCGAGCGAGGCGUCACGUAGUUAUUUUAAGUGACAGUCAUUGUCAUUGCGAAGUUAAUUUUUAUAUACAUCAACUUCAGAUAGUGCCAAUAAUGUUAUUGACCUUUCGUUGAUCUAAUUUAAUACAGCGAAUUCACAGUGGCUGACUUGACACUUUUAUAUGACUACGAUACAACCUGUUUUCACAAUG
This is a long non-coding RNA of Cephus cinctus (wheat stem sawfly), 810 nucleotides long. RefSeq lists it as uncharacterized. The record is from RefSeq and is a predicted model, not a curated record. NCBI's taxonomy places the organism in Eukaryota, Metazoa, Arthropoda, Insecta, Hymenoptera, Cephidae. The transcript is spliced from 3 exons.